CCUACGGGUGGCUGCAGUGAGGAAUAUUGGUCAAUGGGCGAGAGCCUGAACCAGCCAAGUCGCGUGAGGGAGUACUGCCCUAUGGGUUGUAAACCUCUUUUGUCGGGGAGCAAAAGCCGGACGUGUCCGGCUGUGAGAGUACCCGAAGAAAAAGCAUCGGCUAACUCCGUGCCAGCAGCCGCGGUAAUACGGAGGGGGCAAGCGUUAUCCGGAUUUACUGGGUGUAAAGGGGGCGCAGACGGCAAUGCAAGCCAGGAGUGAAAGCCCGGGGCCCAACCCCGGGACUGCUCUUGGAACUGCAUGGCUGGAGUACAGGAGGGGCAGGCGGAAUUCCUAGUGUAGCGGUGAAAUGCGUAGAUAUCACGAAGAACCCCGAUUGCGAAGGCAGCCUGCCGCAGCGUUACUGACGCUGAAGCUCGAAAGCGCGGGUAUCGAACAGGAUUAGAUACCCGUGUAGUC
Molecule: ribosomal RNA, 459 nt
Filed under: uncultured bacterium
Lineage: Bacteria
Description: partial 16S ribosomal RNA
Rfam family: Bacterial small subunit ribosomal RNA
Source: RNAcentral